GAAGGUAUAGCUCAAGUGGUAGAGCGCAUGCUUAGCACGCAUGAGGUCCUGGGUUCAACCCUAGUACCUCCU
Molecule: transfer RNA, 72 nt
Filed under: Camelus bactrianus (Bactrian camel)
Lineage: Eukaryota; Metazoa; Chordata; Mammalia; Artiodactyla; Camelidae
Also listed under: 1 other name
Rfam family: tRNA
About the family: Transfer RNA (tRNA) molecules are approximately 80 nucleotides in length.
Source: Rfam by way of RNAcentral